This 74-nucleotide transfer RNA is filed under the name bacterium. RNAcentral's name for it is "tRNA-Lys". It matches the Rfam family "tRNA". From Rfam's summary of the family: Transfer RNA (tRNA) molecules are approximately 80 nucleotides in length. Their secondary structure includes four short double-helical elements and three loops (D, anti-codon, and T loops). The record is from RNAcentral.
GCCUCCAUAGCUUAAUGGUAAAGCAGCUGCCUUUUAAGCAGUUGACCAUGGUUCGAUUCCAUGUGGGGGCACCA